RNAcentral lists this unclassified non-coding RNA (342 nucleotides) under Hevea brasiliensis (rubber tree). Lineage: Eukaryota; Viridiplantae; Streptophyta; Magnoliopsida; Malpighiales; Euphorbiaceae. The record is from RNAcentral.
AGAAUCAUCUCUUUCUACAUGGUGAAUAUUAAAUUUUGAAGAUUUAAUGAUGUGCCUAUUGUAUUUUCUAGAGAUUAUCCACUGCAAUUGAUAAUUGAUUUUGAUAUGUUGAUGGGUUGAUGAUGGAGCGAUGAAUUUGAAAGCCAUGGGUGCAUGAAGAUGAAGAGAAAAGAUUGCCAUCAUUGGUGGUGAUUUGCUGGUGAAAAUAAGAAUAAAAGACGGUAUUUAAUUAGAAAGGGGAAAAACCAAAGGAGAAUAAAAAAAAUAGAAAAACAUUUAGCUAAAACCAAAAAAUAAUACUAAAAAUUAUUUUAUGUUUUAAAGAAAACAAAAAUAGAGAAA